ACUGCUCAGUAACACGUGGCUAACCUGCCCUCGGGACGGAGACAACCCCGGGAAACUGGGGCUAAUCCCCGAUAGGCGAAGAACUCUGGAAUGAGUCUCCGCCCAAAAGACGCUUACGCCAUGCUCGUAGGCGCCGCCCAAGGAUGGGGCCGCGUCCGAUCAGGUUGUUGGUGAGGUAACGGCUCACCAAGCCUUUUACCGGUGCGGGCCGUGAGAGCGGGAGCCCGGAGAUGGGCACUGAGACAAGGGCCCAGGCCCUACGGGGCGCAGCAGUCGCGAAAACUUUGCAAUACACGAAAGUGUGACAGGGCUAUCCCGAGUGCCAUCCGCUGAGGAAGGCUUUUACCCAGUAUAGACAGCUGGGGGAAUAAGGAGAGGGCAAGACUGGUGUCAGCCGCCGCGGUAAUACCAGCUCUCCGAGUGGUGUGGAUGUUUACUGGGCCUAAAGCAUCCGUAGCUGGCUGGGCAAGUCCCCUGUUAAAUCCACCGAUUUAAUCGUUGGUUUGCGGGGGAUACUGUUCGGCUAGGGGACGGGAGAGGCCGACGGUAUUUUCGGGGUAGGGGUGAAAUCCUAUAAUCCCGGGAAGACCACCAGUGGCGAAGGCUGUCGGCUAGAACGCGCCCGACGGUGAGGGAUGAAAGCUGGGGGAGCGAACCGGAUUAGAUACCCGGGUAGUCCCAGCUGUAAACGAUGCAGGCUAGGUGUUUGGGUGGCUACGUGCCACUCUAGUGCCGCAAGGAAACUGUUAAGCCUGCCGCCUGGGGAGUACGGUCGCAAGGCUGAAACUUAAAGGAAUUGGCGGGGGAGCAC
This 811-nucleotide ribosomal RNA is filed under the name uncultured archaeon. RNAcentral's name for it is "bacterial SSU rRNA". It matches the Rfam family "Archaeal small subunit ribosomal RNA", at positions 85 to 879 of the family's 1478-position model. The record is from RNAcentral.